This 179-nucleotide transfer RNA is filed under the name Marmota monax (woodchuck). RNAcentral describes it as "tRNA.Leu". The record is from RNAcentral. Lineage: Eukaryota; Metazoa; Chordata; Mammalia; Rodentia; Sciuridae.
GGGGUUAUAGCUCAGUGGUAGAGUGCUUGCCUCAAACACAAGGCACUGGGUUCGCGUUUCACCACCACAUGAAAAUAAAUAAAGAUAUUGUAUCCAUCUACAACUAAAAUAAAAUACUAAAAAAAAAGAAGAAGAAAAGAAAUAAGGGGGCCAGGCAGUGGUUCAUGCCUAUAAUCCCA